UUGAAGUCUUUUAUGACUGAUUGGCGGACGGGUGAGUAACGCGUGGGUAACCUGCCUCAUACAGGGGGAUAGCAGCUGGAAACGGCUGGUAAUACCGCAUAAGCGCACGGUAUCGCAUGAUACAGUGUGAAAAACUCCGGUGGUAUGAGAUGGACCCGCGUCUGAUUAGCUAGUUGGUGAGGUAACGGCUCACCAAGGCGACGAUCAGUAGCCGACCUGAGAGGGUGACCGGCCACAUUGGGACUGAGACACGGCCCAGACUCCUACGGGAGGCAGCAGUGGGGAAUAUUGCACAAUGGAGGAAACUCUGAUGCAGCGACGCCGCGUGAGUGAAGAAGUAGUUCGCUAUGUAAAGCUCUAUCAGCAGGGAAGAUAGUGACGGUACCUGACUAAGAAGCUCCGGCUAAAUACGUGCCAGCAGCCGCGGUAAUACGUAUGGAGCAAGCGUUAUCCGGAUUUACUGGGUGUAAAGGGAGUGUAGGUGGCCAGGCAAGUCAGAAGUGAAAGCCCGGGGCUCAACCCCGGGACUGCUUUUGAAACUGCAGGGCUAGAGUGCAGGAGGGGCAAGUGGAAUUCCUAGUGUAGCGGUGAAAUGCGUAGAUAUUAGGAGGAACACCAGUGGCGAAGGCGGCUUGCUGGACUGUAACUGACACUGAGGCUCGAAAGCGUGGGGAGCAAACAGGAUUAGAUACCCUGGUAGUCCACGCCGUANACGAUGAAUACUAGGUGUCGGGGCACAUAAGUGC
Molecule: ribosomal RNA, 746 nt
Filed under: uncultured bacterium
Lineage: Bacteria
Description: bacterial SSU rRNA
Rfam family: Bacterial small subunit ribosomal RNA
Source: RNAcentral